This 524-nucleotide ribosomal RNA is filed under the name Phialocephala fortinii. Its description in RNAcentral is "eukaryotic LSU rRNA". The stretch from base 196 to 349 matches the Rfam family "5.8S ribosomal RNA". The record is from RNAcentral. Lineage: Eukaryota; Fungi; Ascomycota; Leotiomycetes; Helotiales; Mollisiaceae.
GGUCCUGCGGAAGGAUCAUUACAAGUGAGGCUACCGAACGUUGGAAACAGCGGUUAGGAGCUUACACCCACCCGUGUCUAUAUACUAUUGUUGCUUUGGCGGGCCGUGGCCUCCACUGCGGGCUCUGCUCGUGUGUGCCCGCCAGAGAACCAAACUCUGAAUGUUAGUGAUGUCUGAGUACUAUCUAAUAGUUAAAACUUUCAACAACGGAUCUCUUGGUUCUGGCAUCGAUGAAGAACGCAGCGAAAUGCGAUAAGUAAUGUGAAUUGCAGAAUUCAGUGAAUCAUCGAAUCUUUGAACGCACAUUGCGCCCUGUGGUAUUCCGCAGGGCAUGCCUGUUCGAGCGUCAUUUAACCACUCACGCCUAGCGUGGUAUUGGGGCACGCGGUCUCCGCGGCCCUCAAAAUUAGUGGCGGCGCCGGUGGGCUCUAAGCGUAGUACAUACUCCCGCUAUAGAGUUCCCCCGGUGGCUCGCCAGAACCCCCAAUUUUUACAGGUGACCUCGGAUCAGGUAGGUCCGUCCC